This 464-nucleotide ribosomal RNA is filed under the name uncultured bacterium. RNAcentral's name for it is "bacterial SSU rRNA". It matches the Rfam family "Bacterial small subunit ribosomal RNA", at positions 335 to 791 of the family's 1533-position model. The record is from RNAcentral.
ACUCCUACGGGAGGCAGCAGUGGGGAAUAUUGCACAAUGGGCGCAAGCCUGAUGCAGCCAUGCCGCGUGUGUGAAGAAGGCCUUCGGGUUGUAAAGCACUUUCAGUUGUGAGGAAGGUGGUGUCGUUAAUAGCGGCAUCAUUUGACGUUAGCAACAGAAGAAGCACCGGCUAACUCCGUGCCAGCAGCCGCGGUAAUACGGAGGGUGCGAGCGUUAAUCGGAAUUACUGGGCGUAAAGCGCAUGCAGGUGGUUUGUUAAGUCAGAUGUGAAAGCCCGGGGCUCAACCUCGGAACUGCAUUUGAAACUGGCAGACUAGAGUACUGUAGAGGGGGGUAGAAUUUCAGGUGUAGCGGUGAAAUGCGUAGAGAUCUGAAGGAAUACCGGUGGCGAAGGCGGCCCCCUGGACAGAUACUGACACUCAGAUGCGAAAGCGUGGGGAGCAAACAGGUUUAGAUACCCUGGU